GGGUUGUGAGGUUAAGCGACUAAGCGUACACGGUGGAUGCCCUGGCAGUCAGAGGCGAUGAAGGGCGUGCUAAUCUGCGAUAAGCGCCGGUAAGGUGAUAUGAACCGUUAUAACCGGCGAUACCCGAAUGGGGAAACCCAGUGUGACUCGUCACACUAUCAUUAACUGAAUCCAUAGGUUAAUGAGGCGAACCGGGGGAACUGAAACAUCUAAGUACCCCGAGGAAAAGAAAUCAACCGAGAUUCCCCCAG
RNAcentral lists this ribosomal RNA (251 nucleotides) under Salmonella enterica subsp. enterica serovar Newport. RNAcentral describes it as "partial 23S ribosomal RNA". It matches the Rfam family "Bacterial large subunit ribosomal RNA", at positions 1 to 243 of the family's 2925-position model. The record is from RNAcentral. Lineage: Bacteria; Pseudomonadati; Pseudomonadota; Gammaproteobacteria; Enterobacterales; Enterobacteriaceae.